AACUUUCAACAACGGAUCUCUUGGUUCUCGCAUCGAUGAAGAACGCAGCGAAAUGCGAUACGUAAUAUGAAUUGCAGAUAUUCGUGAAUCAUGGAAUCUUUGAACGCACAUUGCGCCCUUUGGUAUUCCAAAGGGCAUGCCUGUUUGAGCGU
Molecule: ribosomal RNA, 152 nt
Filed under: Candida tropicalis
Lineage: Eukaryota; Fungi; Ascomycota; Pichiomycetes; Serinales; Debaryomycetaceae
Description: 5.8S ribosomal RNA
Rfam family: 5.8S ribosomal RNA
About the family: 5.8S ribosomal RNA (5.8S rRNA) is a component of the large subunit of the eukaryotic ribosome.
Source: RNAcentral